UACGUAGGGGGCGAGCGUUAUCCGGAAUUACUGGGCGUAAAGAGUGCGUAGGUGGUCAUGCAGGCGCGGCGGUCUAAGGCUACGGCCUAACCGUAGUUCGCCCCGCGAACUGCGUGACUUGAGUACAGGAGGGGAAAGCGGAACUCCUAGUGUAACGGUGAAAUGCGUAGAUAUUAGGAGGAACACCAGUGGCGAAGGCGGCUUUCUGGACUGCAACUGACACUGAGGCACGAAAGCGUGGGUAGCAAAC
Molecule: ribosomal RNA, 250 nt
Filed under: uncultured prokaryote
Description: partial 16S ribosomal RNA
Rfam family: Bacterial small subunit ribosomal RNA
Source: RNAcentral